This 2661-nucleotide long non-coding RNA is filed under the name Homo sapiens (human). Its description in RNAcentral is "uncharacterized LOC112268219 (LOC112268219)". The record is from RNAcentral. Lineage: Eukaryota; Metazoa; Chordata; Mammalia; Primates; Hominidae.
ACACUCACUCGGCCACCUCCGCGGCAUGCUGGCCGCAGAGAGCACCGUCUGGACCUCCGGGCCCUCUCUGCUCCUGCCGCUGGAGAGGAUCCGGCUGGUCAGAAACAAGGGACGGGGCCACCCCAGGGGCUCAUGCACCCGGCAGACCACGGUAACCGCCAGUGGUGUUUCCACACCGUGCCCGUGAGGAGGCCACGCCAGGCCCCUGCGUCCGAGCUGGGGGUGGGGAAGCUGUGUCUCAACAAGCCUCUCUAUGGGAUUCUGGCGCCUGCUCAGCUUGAGAACGCGCUCAUCGUGGAGCCCGGCAGACAGGCGGCCUGACCCGGAGAAAAGGCAGGACGGCGGGUGGCCUGCCAGGGAGAGCCGCCGCGGCUGCGUCUACAGGAGGCAGAAGAGUAAACAUGGCUGGGCAGUGGAUGUGCAGCUCACGUCAGAGAAUUGGUGUUUCUGGCGAGGAGGGACCAAGCCUCACCACGGAGAAGGACGCCGUCACCGGCGUGCAGGCUGCCAACCUGCCACUCUGGGAGGCCCCACGCGGCCCCUGCACCUCUCAGGAGGGCGCUGGCGCUGGGAUGGUGGCCGGCCAGGCAGGGGUGGCAGGAGAAAACCCAUCCGAGUCCUGCAGGUCAGCGCCCUGGGCAUCCAGUGGGGCCGGGAGGGGUGUCUGAGCGCAGCCACCUUCUAUCCCCGGCCUCAUGUGGCCCCAUCAGCCCAACUGGAGCGGCUGGAAAUGACCAUCACCAGGCCUGGCCAAGGUGUGGCCCUGGAAGCCAGGACAGUUGACUUCCGGCCAUGACUCCCGGAGAGUGCCGGAGCUGGCGUGCUCAGCAGAGCUGCCGGGGACGAUGUCCCGGGGCUGAGUGGGCGGCUUCAGCCUAGACUUGGGCCUAGAUCUUGCUGGAGGCCAAGUGGUCAGUGUCCCAUCAGAGUGACCAUCCCUCACACGCCACUGCUGGGGGACACACCCCCACUGAGCGGCCAAGUCCACAGGACACGUGUCCCUGUGUCCACCUGUCAGCCACACCGCCCCUCGCUCCCCUACAGCCUCUGCCCUCAGACCAGUCCACGGCGCGCCGUUUUACCCUUGGGCUUUGCUGUGUCCCUUCCUUUGGCUCCUGUGCCCCGUCUGUGUGGCCACUGCAACCCUCAAGUCCCCCUCUCCAGACCAUAGCUGGACCCCCACUCCCGGGGCUGGCUCCAGCAGCCAUCAGCUGCCUUCUCACUCUGGCAGAGCCCACCCAGUGCCUUCUGAAGCCCCCGAGGGUCACUCAGUCUGAGACUUUCCGGCUUCUGCCCAUCCUGGGAACCAGCCCCUCCCUCCAGAAGCUUUCUCUAAGGUUGCCAGAAGGUGCUAAGAUCUGAACCGAGGUCAUCUUGUCCCGGGGUUUCCAGGCAGCGUCCCUUGUUUGGGGGCCCUCUGAGAUGCCUUCAGACCCCCGCCUGUGGCGGAAGAGCUUUGUCCUGGCCUGAUCUGCCCUGUCCGUGACGCUUCUGCUCAGUAGCUGAGCACGCCCUGUGGUGUGGACAGGCCAGCCCGGCUGCAGGACAGUGGGGGCUCAGUCCAGAAGCCUCUGGUGGCUUCUGCGUGUGGGCAGGGGAGCAGGGCUGCAGGGUGGGCUGGCACCUGGCAGCGUGAGGGGCCUCAGGGCUGUUAAAAUCCCAACGACCGGCCGGGCGCGGUGGCUCACGCCUGUAAUCCCAGCACUUUGGGAGGCCGAGACGGGCGGAUCACCUGAGAUCAGUUCAAGACCAGCCUGACCAACAUGGUGAAACCCUGUCUCUACUAAAAAUACAAAAAUUAGCCAGGUGUGGUGACGCCUGUAAUCCCAGCUACUCAGGAGACUGAGGCAGGAGAAUCGCUUGAACCCGGGAGGCAGAUGUUGCAGUGAGCCGAGAUCAUGCCACUGCACUCCAGCCUGGGCGACAGAGCGAGACACCGUCUCAAAAAAAAAAAAAAAUCCCAGUGACCAACCCAGGGCCUCGCCACAUCAACAGAGACAAAACGCAGCUCUGGCUCUCAACAUCCUCACCCCUCACCAGGUGCCCAGCUUCCCAUCCACCCACGUGACCCGCAGGUGUCUGAAAAUGCACAAAAUGUCCAAAUAGGACCACAAGAAGAUCUUAAAGACACAAAGAACAUUCUACAUAGUUUGUCAAAUCCAGCAUUUGACGGUCCUCUGGGUGACCCGGAGAACACCAAGGCUGUGAGAAAUGGGAGGCCUCCUGGCAGCUCCACUCCCCAGACCCGCCUCUGCCAGGGCUCCAGGCUCAGCAGGCGCCUGUGCGGGACAGGGCGACGGUUCAAGACCAAGUCCGGCUGUUAGACCAGACCCUCCAAUCCAGGCGGCCUCCCUGCUGGGGUCCUGUGCGGUCAGGAGUCCCAGGGCAUCCCAGGGUGGCUGUGCAAACCCUUGUUCCCAAAGAUAUGGGGCUUGUCCCCCAGCUAGCCUGCCCAUGCGGUGGCCACAGCCUCGGGUGAGUUCCGGUUCCAAAGUACCGGCUCUCCCUUACGAUCAAGUGUUCGAAUGUGCUUGAAGCAUUCCAGACACACCAAGGCCUGGACCUGACUUCAUUGACGCCUACUUAGGAAAAAUUGAGGCAGUCUGCCAAGCUUUCAGCAACUGCUUAAAAAGCUCAAAAUGGCAAGUUUUUCCUCGUGAA